This 30-nucleotide non-coding RNA is filed under the name Mus musculus (house mouse). The record is from RNAcentral. Lineage: Eukaryota; Metazoa; Chordata; Mammalia; Rodentia; Muridae.
UGUCCGUGGCUAAUUACGUCUUUCUAGUGU